Molecule: unclassified non-coding RNA, 334 nt
Filed under: soil metagenome
Description: partial contains 5.8S ribosomal RNA, internal transcribed spacer 2, and large subunit ribosomal RNA
Rfam family: 5.8S ribosomal RNA (bases 1-120)
Source: RNAcentral
GAUGAAGAACGUAGCGAAAUGCGAUAAGUAAUGUGAAUUGCAGAAUUCAGUGAAUCAUCGAAUCUUUGAACGCACAUUGCGCCCGCCAGUAUUCUGGCGGGCAUGCCUGUUCGAGCGUCAUUUCAACCAUCAAGCCCCCGGCUUGUGUUGGGGACCUGCGGCUGCCGCAGGCCCUGAAAACCAGUGGCGGGCUCGCUAGUCACUCCGAGCGUAGUAGUUACAUCUCGCUCAGGGCGUGCUGCGGGUUCCGGCCGUUAAAAGCCUUAUUUACCCAAGGUUGACCUCGGAUCAGGUAGGAAGACCCGCUGAACUUAAGCAUAUCAAUAAGGGAGGA